RNAcentral lists this transfer RNA (74 nucleotides) under Candidatus Microgenomates bacterium. RNAcentral's name for it is "tRNA-Ile". It matches the Rfam family "tRNA". From Rfam's summary of the family: Transfer RNA (tRNA) molecules are approximately 80 nucleotides in length. Their secondary structure includes four short double-helical elements and three loops (D, anti-codon, and T loops). The record is from RNAcentral. Lineage: Bacteria; Candidatus Microgenomatota.
GGGCCUGUAGCUCAGCUGGUUAGAGCGCCAAACUGAUAAUUUGGAGGUCUCAGGUUCGAGUCCUGACAGGCCCA